RNAcentral lists this ribosomal RNA (756 nucleotides) under uncultured bacterium. Its description in RNAcentral is "bacterial SSU rRNA". It matches the Rfam family "Bacterial small subunit ribosomal RNA", at positions 8 to 796 of the family's 1533-position model. The record is from RNAcentral.
AGAGUUUGAUCAUGGCUCAGAAUCAACGCUGGCGGCGUGCCUAACACAUGCAAGUCGAACGAGAAAGGGUAGCAAUACCUGAGUAAAGUGGCGCACGGGUGAGUAACACGUGACUAACCUACCCUGGAGUGGGGGAUAACUGAGGGAAACCUUAGCUAAUACCGCAUAAUACCCACGGGUCAAAGGAGCAAUUCGCUUCAGGAGGGGGUCGCGGCCGAUUAGUUAGUUGGCGGGGUAAUGGCCCACCAAGACGAUGAUCGGUAUCCGGCCUGAGAGGGCGCACGGACACACUGGAACUGAAACACGGUCCAGACUCCUACGGGAGGCAGCAGUGGGGAAUUUUGCGCAAUGGGGGAAACCCUGACGCAGCAACGCCGCGUGGAGGAUGAAGUCCUUCGGGACGUAAACUCCUUUCGAUCGGGACGAUUAUGACGGUACCGGAAGAAGAAGCCCCGGCUAACUUCGUGCCAGCAGCCGCGGUAAUACGAGGGGGGCGAGCGUUGUUCGGAAUUAUUGGGCGUAAAGGGUGCGUAGGCGGUUUGGUAAGUCUUGUGUGAAAUCUACAGGCUCAACUUGUAGUCUGCACGAGAAACUGCCGGGCUUGAGUAUGGGAGAGGUGAGUGGAAUUCCUGGUGUAGCGGUGAAAUGCGUAGAUAUCAGGAGGAACACCUGUGGCGAAAGCGGCUCACUGGACCAUAACUGACGCUGAUGCACGAAAGCUAGGGGAGCAAACAGGAUUAGAUACCCCGGUAGUCC